AUUGAACGCUGGCGGAAUGCUUUACACAUGCAAGUCGAGCGGCAGCGCGGGGGCAACCCUGGCGGCGAGCGGCGAACGGGUGAGUAAUGUAUCGGAACGUACCCAGUCGUGGGGGAUAACUAUCCGAAAGGAUAGCUAAUACCGCAUACGACCUGAGGGUGAAAGCGGGGGACCGUAAGGCCUCGCGCGAUUGGAGCGGCCCCGAUAUCGGAUUAGCUAGUUGGUGAGGUAAAGGCUCACCAAGGCGACGAUCCGUAGCUGGUCUGAGAGGACGACCAGCCACACUGGAACUGAGACACGGUCCAGACUCCUACGGGAGGCAGCAGUGGGGAAUUUUGGACAAUGGGGGGCAACCCUGAUCCAGCCAUUCCGCGUGAGUGAAGAAGGCCUUCGGGUCGUAAAGCUCUUUCAGCAGGAACGAAACGGCUCUCUCUAACAUAGGGAGUUAAUAGACGGUACCUGAAGAAGAAGCACCGGCUAACUACGUAGCCAGCAGCC
RNAcentral lists this ribosomal RNA (498 nucleotides) under uncultured bacterium. RNAcentral's name for it is "bacterial SSU rRNA". It matches the Rfam family "Bacterial small subunit ribosomal RNA", at positions 29 to 516 of the family's 1533-position model. The record is from RNAcentral.